Dama dama (fallow deer) is the source of this 1314-nucleotide long non-coding RNA. RefSeq lists it as uncharacterized. The transcript is spliced from 4 exons. Lineage: Eukaryota; Metazoa; Chordata; Mammalia; Artiodactyla; Cervidae. The record is from RefSeq and is a predicted model, not a curated record.
UUCACAGGCCUGCCUCGGCCUCAGCGCGCCGGAAGCGGAAGUCAGGAGGCGGUCGAAUUCUGGCCGAAGUGGCUCUGUUACCUGGGAGAGGUGGAGGCGUGUAUACGGAGGUCCUGUGCCAGCGCCCUGGACCGGAGAUCUACACAAUCUAAACAUUAAACAGAACAGCCGCUUCAAACCCCUGAGAUUAUAACAUCCAUCACUCCAGUUUUCCCUAUUACAGAUUUCUCUGGUGGCUCAGUGGUAAAGAACCCACCUGCACAAUGCAGGAGACACAGGUUGGAUCCCUGAUCUGGGAAGAUCUCACAUGCUGUGGAGCAACUAAGCCCGGGAACUGCAACUACUGAAGCUCGCAUGUCCUAGAGCCUGUGCUCCGAAACAAGAAAAGCACUUGCAAUAAGAAGCCCUCACACUACUAGAGAGUAGCCCUUGCUCACUACAACUAGAGAAAACUCUGAGCAGAAAUGAAGACAGCUAUAAAGAAAUAACUAAAUGAAAUUAUAUAUAAAAAAAGAAGAAUCCACCUUCCAGUGCAGGAGACUAGGGUUUGAUUCCUGGUCGGGGAACUAUUAAUAAGCUCUCACAUGCAGAGGGGCAACUAAGCCCAUGCCCCACAUCUAGAGAAAGCCCACGUGCGGCAACAAAGACCUAGUGCAGCCAAAAUUAAAAGAAAAGUUUUCCCCAUUAAAUACAGUGCUGUUGUUGGCUUUUCCAGUGCUUGAUGGUGCAAACCAUUCUCUUGUCUGUGGAUACAAAUGGAAGGACCCAGGUUGGUCACCCAGGACAGAAGUCACAUUGUUGAAGGUCUGCAGAAUUAACCUAUAGCACACUGUGGUGUAAGAGAUAGAGUCUCCUAUUAAAGAUGAAGACAGGAGGUCCUUGUUUCAAUUCAGCCUUCCAUUCACUGUCAGGCCCUGAGCACGAUAUUUAAUGAACGGAUGGCCUUCCUGUCCUGGGAAAUUGGAAAUGAUGGUCCUGACUGCUGGGCUUGAAGUGGGCUGAACAGGAGAGCAACCCAUUCUGGCUUCACUCCCAUGAAUGAUUUUUUUUUCCUACUAUAUACAAGGAGUGGAAAAACUUUUAAAAAAUCUUUCAGCCACACCACGUGGCAUAUGGGAUCUUAUUUCCCUGACCAGGGAUUGAACUUGUGUCCCCUGCAUUGACAGCUCAGAGUCUUAACCACUGGGCUGCCACGGAGGUCCUGAGAAGCAUUUUAAGAGAAACAUGAAGAAAGAGAAUGCAGUAGAAACCCACUCUUAAGUAUUAUUUAAUGGCUACAUAAUGUUUCCUGUCCCAAUAAACGUUAUCUGACUC